Molecule: ribosomal RNA, 662 nt
Filed under: uncultured archaeon
Lineage: Archaea
Description: bacterial SSU rRNA
Rfam family: Archaeal small subunit ribosomal RNA
Source: RNAcentral
AUGGGUCUGCGGCGGAUUAGGUAGUUGGUGGGGUAACGGCCCACCAAGCCUAAGAUCCGUACGGGCUGUGGGAGCAGGAGCCCGGAGAUGGACCCUGAGACAAGGGUCCAGGCCCUACGGGGCGCAGCAGGCGCGAAACCUCCGCAAUGCGGGAAACCGCGACGGGGUUAGCCGGAGUGCCCGUGCAUUGCACGGGCUGUCGGGGUGCCUAAACAGCACCCCAUAGCAAGGGCCGGGCAAGGCCGGUGGCAGCCGCCGCGGUAAGACCGGCGGCCCGAGUGGCGGCCACUCUUAUUGGGCCUAAAGCGUCCGUAGCCGGCCCAGUAAGUCCCCCGGGAAAUCUGGUCGCUUAACGAUCAGACUUCCGGGGGAUACUGCUGGGCUAGGGACCGGGAGAGGCCGAGGGUAUUCCCGGGGUAGGGGUGAAAUCCUGUAAUCCCGGGAGGACCACCUGUGGCGAAGGCGCUCGGCUGGAACGGGUCCGACGGUGAGGGACGAAGGCCUGGGGAGCGAACCGGAUUAGAUACCCGGGUAGUCCAGGCUGUAAACGAUGCGGGCUAGGUGUCACCGGAGCUACGAGCUCCGGUGGUGCCGGAGGGAAGCCGUUAAGCCCGCCGCCUGGGAAGUACGGCCGCAAGGCUGAAACUUAAAGGAAUUGACGG